This is an RNA transcript of Halichondria panicea, 2335 nucleotides long. RefSeq lists it as uncharacterized. The transcript is spliced from 5 exons. The record is from RefSeq and is a predicted model, not a curated record. NCBI's taxonomy places the organism in Eukaryota, Metazoa, Porifera, Demospongiae, Suberitida, Halichondriidae.
UAUACACAAUGGCUAUUGAUAUCGACACUCAGAAGCAGAAGACUGGGGUAACAGACACCCAGCUAGACCUAAGAAUUGAGCAGGAAAAAUUGUGGAGCCUGGCUGGUUUACUUGGCAGCUAUGAUAAGUUUGUUAGAAAGCUAGGGUUUGAUCUCAAUAAUGCCGAUAUAGCAGAUCUGAAGACCAUUGCCUCUAAGCGUAAUGGUAAUCAACUGCAUGGCCAUGUGUGAAGCUUUAAGGAAAUGGGAAAAUAUCAUCCGUGACUUCACUUAUCAGUCGUUGUUGGAGAUUUUGAUUGGUCGUCGUGAAGGAGCUUUGGCUGACCAAGUGUGUAGGACUUUCAUCCAGUCACAAGCCAGUGAGCUGAAUAAAGAAGAGGCUGUGUCCUUGUCACCUGCACCAGGUUAGUAGCUCAGUAUAAUUAUGGAUUCAACAUUAUCAAGCACUUUAUAUUAUGUUCCUCAUGACCAUAGAUAGACUACCUUAUUGUUACUAUUAUAAAUGGGUACUAAUUUCAGCGAAUUUGUAAAUUAAGUACGCACAAAAUUAGUACCCUAAAAAACAGAGAAAAAUCUAAAAACGCUAAAAUUACUACCCGUCUAUAAUAGUAACAUUAAGGGAUCACCUCUGACAGUGACCCAGUUGAACCGAAUUCCUUGGCGAUCGACAGGCACUACAACUGCUGACCUCAUAAAAGAAUUUGAUAGGAGGAGGUUUAGGGAUCUACGAAAGAUAGCUCUCGAGGAGAUAACUGAGAAACGAAUACCUGUGACUGAGUUCCGCUAAACACUCAUGAAUUUACCAUGCCCUAUCACAAAUGAAAACAAAGAUUUUAUCAUAUCAAAGUAUUUGUUUGAAGAAGCUAAGUCAAACGAAAGCAUCUUUCUGCAUCUCAAUUUCUACCUAAGUUUUAUUGAUUUCAGCCUUCUUGAGCAUAUCAUAGAGCAGUAAUAGUCUGAAACGAGACAUAAGCAGCUAUACAGAAGACAUAAGACAGUUCAGAAUGAAAACGCCCGUUAGCGAAGCACUUGACCAUCUUCCGAAAAUUUCAGAUCCUCCUGCAAAUCACUCUCGUCUAACAGUGAAGUUUGAUGUUGAUGUUCAGACUGCAACUCUUGAAAAUCUAGAGACGUACAGGAAACGUUUCGCUAGUGAUUUCUUGCUCUCCCAGCUAGCCCUUUCUUUGUUUGACCUUCAGGAGAGCUCACUACUGGUUACAUGGCUAGUUCCUGCUGCUGUAGGAGCAAUGAUCAGUGAUCAAGUGCAGAAAAAGUCUUCAUUCUGUUUAAGCAACAAUAUUCUCAAGCUAUCACUUGAAGGAGAAUGUCUCUAUCCAAUGACAAAGGUUAGUCAAUCAGGUCAAUCAGGAUCUGGUAGUCCUAUGAUUGAAGCUGGAGCUGUGACCUCUCUUAAACCACAUCAAAGGAUAGCAGAUAAAAUGAAGCGAACAAUCAAUCUUGGACCUAAUCAUCGUGGACUGGCUAUUGUUGUAUUAUCGUUGUUGGACCUAACGGACGUGCUCACGAGGAAAUUGAGAUUUGCUGUUUACGAGCCUCGAGAUAUACUAUCCCUAAAGUCACACAUGCAAGCUGUAGAUCUUGUGGAGCUGAAACAUCAUCCCAUAAUAGUGAUGGUAUCUGGAGUUGGAAGGGAUAAUCUUAUUCUACUCACUGAAUGUGGUUACAUUAACAUCAAGGAAGAUAAUUAUUAUGGCACCACUAUUCCCUCCUAUUGCCACACACCUUGCUGACAACCCAAAGAUAUUCCUGUUUAUUAUUUUCAAACUUUUCUGAACCUCUACAUUUCAUUGAACCAUUCGGGCAAAAUUACAUUGUUGGUUAUAUUGCAUGCGAUGAUCUCGGUGAUAGGUUGAGGGUGACACGCAUCGUAGAGGACAAACUGGCACACCCUUCUAUAUCUGUGCAAGAGAUCUUUACUUCAAUUAGCGACAAGCUUCCACACACUACUACCAUUACUAUGAUCGACCGUCUCAAGGAGCCAGUCUACUUGCAUCCUCGUAGAUCUGAGCUAAUGGAAACUCACAGCGGAUCACAAGAAUCAUCUGAGGAGUCCGAUACUCUAUCACGUUUAGGUGGGCUAUCAAUCAUUGAGCAAUCACAUCUACUGGAGCAACCAACUAAGAAGCUCAAGACGGAACUAUCACCUGAGUCAAGUGAGAAACGCCAAAUUGAUGAAGACUUAUAGUGCUUACCUCAUGCAUCUUCAACUUACCUGUAUAUCUGUAUAUGUAAUUCUGUUUGAAAAAAUUUUUUAUAUUUUUGUACAAAUUGCAUGGUAUAAUAAUAACAGCACAUGAGAUCAUACCAUGCAACAA